Caenorhabditis elegans is the source of this 125-nucleotide non-coding RNA. The record is from Ensembl. Lineage: Eukaryota; Metazoa; Nematoda; Chromadorea; Rhabditida; Rhabditidae.
AACGACAUCGUCUCUCAUGUCCAAAUCAAUGACGGUGUAUAUGUGUGUGCUCUCUGAGGGGCUCUCCGUGCUCCGGGAGAGCUCUUUUUCGUGUCUAUGUGCUCCUGCUUUCUCACACCACAUCC